AGGACGAACGCUGGCGGCGUGCUUAACACAUGCAAGUCGAGCGGAAAGGCCCUUCGGGGUACUCGAGCGGCGAACGGGUGAGUAACACGUGAGCAACCUGCCCUUAGCUCCGGGAUAGCUCCGGGAAACCGGAAUUAAUACCGGAUAUGACCUAGGCCGACAUCGGCUGUGGUGGAAAGUUUUUCGGCUGGGGAUGGACUCGCGGCCUAUCAGCUUGUUGGUGGGGUAAUGGCCUACCAAGGCGACGACGGGUAGCCGGCCUGAGAGGGCGACCGGCCACACUGGGACUGAGACACGGCCCAGACUCCUACGGGAGGCAGCAGUGGGGAAUCUUGCGCAAUGGGCGAAAGCCUGACGCAGCGACGCCGCGUGGGGGAUGAAGGCCUUCGGGUUGUAAACCCCUUUCAGCAGGGACUAAGCGAAAGUGACGGUACCUGCAGAAGAAGCGCCGGCUAACUACGCGCCAGCAGCCGC
RNAcentral lists this ribosomal RNA (474 nucleotides) under uncultured bacterium. Its description in RNAcentral is "SSU rRNA". It matches the Rfam family "Bacterial small subunit ribosomal RNA", at positions 26 to 518 of the family's 1533-position model. The record is from RNAcentral.